UACGAAGGGGGCUAGCGUUGUUCGGAAUUACUGGGCGUAAAGCGCACGUAGGCGGACUCUUAAGUCGGUGGUGAAAUCCUGGAGCUCAACUCCAGAACUGCCUUCGAUACUGAGAGUCUCGAGUCCGGGAGAGGUGAGUGGAACUGCGAGUGUAGAGGUGAAAUUCGUAGAUAUUCGCAAGAACACCAGUGGCGAAGGCGGCUCACUGGCCCGGUACUGACGCUGAGGUGCGAAAGCGUGGGGAGCAAACAGG
RNAcentral lists this ribosomal RNA (253 nucleotides) under uncultured bacterium. RNAcentral describes it as "partial 16S ribosomal RNA". It matches the Rfam family "Bacterial small subunit ribosomal RNA", at positions 524 to 776 of the family's 1533-position model. The record is from RNAcentral.